Long non-coding RNA from Tribolium madens (black flour beetle), 514 nucleotides. RefSeq lists it as uncharacterized. The transcript is spliced from 3 exons. The record is from RefSeq and is a predicted model, not a curated record. Lineage: Eukaryota; Metazoa; Arthropoda; Insecta; Coleoptera; Tenebrionidae.
AGUUGUAAAAAAUAUUUCUUUAAUUUUUUUUCAAACCAUAAAAUCAAGUCGAACGUGCUUUUAGCCUCAAGCGCCCCCUAAAACCUCCCCUUUAUGUCAAUUCCAUGACAGGAGCAAGUUGCGUCGGAUUUAUGACACGUCAGGGUUAUUAGACACGGCUUUUUACAAAUGAUGUCUAAUCCUGAAAGCUGAAACUUGGCACUUUGUAAUCCGGAGCUGACCGCAUGAAUUUGCCGCCCUCUCUUAAGAUUGUACGGUGUUAUUAACCCUUCAGGACAAAGGAAGUAUCUGUAAUCGGGAUGGAAAUGUAGGUUACGAUGUUGCCGACUAACUGAUUAAACUGAUACGUCUUUACGAGAAGAGGGAAAGGUGGAAGUCGGGGUUGGAGACCCACAUACUUGCUUAUAGCAGACAGACUUAUUUUAGAAAUUAUAAAAAAUAUACAACUUUUUGAUGGCCUUAGCAGCAAUAUACCAGGUGAAUAAAAAGUAUGGAACCAAACGUUUAUUGCUUA